RNAcentral lists this long non-coding RNA (919 nucleotides) under Homo sapiens (human). RNAcentral describes it as "long non-coding RNA NONHSAT192217.1". Lineage: Eukaryota; Metazoa; Chordata; Mammalia; Primates; Hominidae. The record is from RNAcentral.
GACCACGGCUAGAUAGGCCGCCGGCCAGAUGUGGCGGGGGAGAGCCGGGGCUUUGCUCCGGGUGUGGGGGUUUUGGCCGACAGGGGUUCCCAGAAGGAGACCGCUAAGCUGCGAUGCUGCGUCGCAGGCGGGAAGCAAUUAUCCCCGCUGUUGGAACUGCGGCGGCCCAUGGGGCCCCGGGCGGGAGGACAGGUUCUUCUGCCCACAGUGCCGAGCGCUGCAGGCACCUGACCCCACUCGAGACUACUUCAGCCUUAUGGACUGCAACCGUUCCUUCAGAGUUGAUACAGCGAAGCUCCAGCACAGGUACCAGCAACUGCAGCGUCUUGUCCACCCAGAUUUCUUCAGCCAGAGGUCUCAGACUGAAAAGGACUUCUCAGAGAAGCAUUCGACCCUGGUGAAUGAUGCCUAUAAGACCCUCCUGGCCCCCCUGAGCAGAGGACUGUACCUUGUAAGAAAGAAUUUACUGACAAUGUGAGCAGUGCUUUUGAACAAGAUGACUUUGAAGAAGCCAAGGAAAUUUUGACAAAGAUGAGAUACUUUUCAAAUAUAGAAGAAAAGAUCAAGUUAAAGAAGAUUCCCCUUUAAUUGUGGAUAGUUUAAAGUUUAAAAAAUAAAGUUCUUGCUGGGCACAGUGGCUCACACCUGUAAUCCCAGCACUUUGGGAGGCUGAGGUGGGUGGAUGACAAGGUCAGGAGUUCAAGACCAGCUUGGCCAACAUAGUGAAACCCCGUCUCUGCUGAAAAUACAAAAAUUAGCCGGGCAUGGUGGCGCGUGCCUGUAAUCCCAGCUACUUGGUAGGCCGAGGCAGGAGAAUCGCUUAAACCCGUGAGGUGGAGGUUGCAGUGAGCAGAGAUCACGCAACUGCACUCCAGCUUGGGCAACAGAGUGAGACUUAAUCUUGAAAAAUAAAUAAAUG